GACGAACGCUGGCGGCGUGCCUAAUACAUGCAAGUAGAACGCACAGUUUAUACCGUAGCUUGCUACACCAUAGACUGUGAGUUGCGAACGGGUGAGUAACGCGUAGGUAACCUGCCUGGUAGCGGGGGAUAACUAUUGGAAACGAUAGCUAAUACCGCAUAAUAUUAAUUAUUGCAUGAUAAUUAAUUGAAAGGUGCAAUUGCACCACUACCAGAUGGACCUGCGUUGUAUUAGCUAGUAGGUGAGGUAACGGCUCACCUAGGCGACGAUACAUAGCCGACCUGAGAGGGUGAGCGGCCACACUGGGACGGAGACACGGCCCAGACUACUACGGGAGGCAGCAGGAGGGAAUCUUCGGCAAUGGACGAAAGGCUGAACGAGCAACGCCGCGUGAGUGAAGAAGGGUUUCGGAUCGUAAAGCUCUGUUGUAAGAGAAGAACGGGUGUGAGAGUGGAAAGUUCACACUGUGACGGUAUCUUACCAGAAAGGGACGGCUAACUACGUG
RNAcentral lists this ribosomal RNA (505 nucleotides) under uncultured bacterium. Its description in RNAcentral is "partial 16S ribosomal RNA". It matches the Rfam family "Bacterial small subunit ribosomal RNA", at positions 28 to 507 of the family's 1533-position model. The record is from RNAcentral.